ACGGGGUGCAGCAGGCGCGAAAACUUGGCAAUGCGAGAAAUCGUGACCAGGGAACUCCAAGUGGCUGGGGUAAGACCCAGUCUUUUCUUGACUCUUCAACGGUCUUGGAAUAAGGGGUGGGUAAGGACGGUGCCAGCCGCCGCGGUAAUACCGGCGCCUCAAGUGGUAGUCGAUUUUAUUGGGCCUAAAACGUCCGUAGCCUGUUUGGUACAUUCGUGGGUAAAUCAACCAGCUCAACUGAUUGAAUUCUGCGAGCACGGCCAGACUUGGGACCGGGAGAGGUGUGGGGUACGCUCAGGGUAGGGGUAAAAUCCUGUCAUCCUGAGCGGACCACCUGUUGCGAAGGCGCCACACUAGAACGGAUCCGACGGUCAGGGACGAAGCCUAGGGGCACGAACCGGAUUAGAUACCCGGGUAGUCCUAGGUGUAAACGCUGUGGACUUGGUGUUGGGGACUCUCCGAGAUUCCUCAGUGCCGAAGCGAAGGUGAUAAGUCCACUGCCUGGGGAGUACGGUCGCAAGGCUGAAACUUAA
RNAcentral lists this ribosomal RNA (533 nucleotides) under uncultured archaeon. Its description in RNAcentral is "bacterial SSU rRNA". It matches the Rfam family "Archaeal small subunit ribosomal RNA", at positions 325 to 859 of the family's 1478-position model. The record is from RNAcentral.